CUCUAGGGAGACUGCCGGUGACAAACCGGAGGAAGGUGGGGAUGACGUCAAGUCAUCAUGGCCCUUAUGGGUAGGGCUACACACGUGCUACAAUGGUCGGUACAGAGGGCUGCAAAUCCGCGAGGACAAGCUAAUCUCACAAAACCGAUCGUAGUCCGGAUUGGAGUCUGCAACUCGACUCCAUGAAGUCGGAAUCGCUAGUAAUCGUAGAUCAGAAUGCUACGGUGAAUACGUUCCCGGGCCUU
Molecule: ribosomal RNA, 245 nt
Filed under: uncultured Gammaproteobacteria bacterium
Lineage: Bacteria; Pseudomonadati; Pseudomonadota; Gammaproteobacteria
Description: partial 16S ribosomal RNA
Rfam family: Bacterial small subunit ribosomal RNA
Source: RNAcentral